RNAcentral lists this ribosomal RNA (489 nucleotides) under uncultured bacterium. Its description in RNAcentral is "SSU rRNA". It matches the Rfam family "Bacterial small subunit ribosomal RNA", at positions 26 to 518 of the family's 1533-position model. The record is from RNAcentral.
AGAAUCAACGCUGGCGGCGUGCCUAACACAUGCAAGUCGAACGCGAAAGUCCCGCAAGGGAUGAGUAGAGUGGCAAACGGGUGAGUAACACGUGGGUGACCUGCCUUCGAGUGGGGGGAUAACGUCCCGAAAGGGACGCUAAUACCGCAUAACAUCCUGCUUUUUAAGAGGUGGAGAGCAAAGCCGGGGAUCGCAAGACCUGGCGCUUGAAGAGGGGCCCGCGUCCGAUUAGCUAGUUGGUGGGGUAAUGGCUCACCAAGGCGACGAUCGGUAACCGGCCUGAGAGGAUGAUCAGCCACACUGGGACUGAGACACGGCCCAAGACUCCUACGGGAGGCAGCAGUAGGGAAUAUUGGACAAUGGGCGAAAGCCUGAUCCAGCCAUGCCGCGUGAGUGAUGAAGGCCUUCGGGUUGUAAAGCUCUUUUGGCGGGGACGAUAAUGACGGUACCCGCAGAAUAACGCCCCGGCUAACUCGUGCCAGCAGCCGC